CAAUUUAAUUGAUUUGAAAUUAUUACAAUUGUCAAGCUGGUUUGAAAUGAUUGUAAUGCAAAUUUUUAUCAAUGAUCUAUCAUAAGUAGUUACUCACAGACUAACUUAAGCAGAAAACUUAACAAUUGUACAAGUUGACGCCACUGCGUUUGCCAGAAAAGCUAUUUCCUACAUGUUCUAUGUUUUGCUUUUGGUAAAUUUUCAUCACAGGUGAAACAAACGAGUUUUAAGGACAUAACUGCCAUGACUACUAUGACUGUAGUAUGUAAUUUCACAUGUUUCAUCAUCAAAAAUAAAAUAAUUACAAAAAAAUACUAUGAGGGAGCAACUGAUGAUUUCCAACACUAUGACUUAUCUGUAAAUCUUGUAAAUAGUACUGAACAAGUUUGCUGUUCACAGUUUGUAUCUAUUUACA
RNAcentral lists this long non-coding RNA (415 nucleotides) under Mytilus galloprovincialis (Mediterranean mussel). Lineage: Eukaryota; Metazoa; Mollusca; Bivalvia; Mytilida; Mytilidae. The record is from RNAcentral.